GACAGAGGUGCCGAGCGUUAGGCGGAAUCACUGGGCUUAAAGCGCGUGUAGGCGGCUUUGCAAGUCGGAUGUGAAAGCCCUCGGCUCAACCGAGGAAGUGCGUUCGAAACUGCAGAGCUUGAGUGCCGGAGAGGGUGGCGGAAUUCCCCAAGUAGAGGUGAAAUUCGUAGAUAUGGGGAGGAACACCGGUGGCGAAGGCGGCCACCUGGACGGUAACUGACGCUGAGACGCGAAAGCGUGGGGAGCAAACAGG
Molecule: ribosomal RNA, 253 nt
Filed under: uncultured bacterium
Lineage: Bacteria
Description: partial 16S ribosomal RNA
Rfam family: Bacterial small subunit ribosomal RNA
Source: RNAcentral